Schistosoma rodhaini is the source of this 46-nucleotide non-coding RNA. The record is from Rfam. NCBI's taxonomy places the organism in Eukaryota, Metazoa, Platyhelminthes, Trematoda, Strigeidida, Schistosomatidae.
AGAUAAAUGAGGAGUCCCAUAAUAGGACGAAACGGCCGUCCAGUGU